GGCAGACGCGCGCACCCGCACCCGCACCCGCACCCGCAGGCGCGCACACGGGUGUUUGGGCCGUGUAUCCCCCUACCCACUCCCCUCCUUCCUUCGAACGGCUUCAACCCAAACCUUAAAAUUAAAGCCAUCCCCAAAUUUGGUCUUGGGGAUCUUGCUGGCUGUCGGAUUUCGGUGCAGCGUUCCCUCCCCCGCGCUGCUGCUGCUGCCGCUUAAGGACAGUUACUUGCCCCGGGAGGGAACGGUCAAGUGGAAGCUGUGUGUGGGCGUGCGUGUGUGUGCGCGCGUGUGUGCGCGUGUGGCUUCUUUGGGGCACAUGCACACCCCGCCGUAGCCUCCGGAUCGGCAGUCCCGCCGCCGGGGCUUGUCCCUGCCAGCCAAGGACUCCACAAGGAGGGAGUCCCCGGUCCCCGGCAGGGCAGCCUGCGAGCGGCUUCGGUGCUGGGCACGCUCGGGGCGGAGGAAGCCCGGCGAGGAGCGGGGUCCUCCCACGGAGGGGCCGGAGCUGCCCCCCGCCGCGCCCCCCGCCCGGCCCCCGCGCCCCCAGACCCGCCCCCCCCCCCCCCCGUGCUCUGCGCACCCGACUCCGGGAGGCGGAGGGAGGGGCGCGGCGCCCUCCCGGGCCGCGAGCGGUCACGGAAUCUGACACCCGGACAGGCAGCUGGUCCCCGGCCAGGACGCCCCGCGCCUUCUCAAAUGGAAACAGUCUCUCCCAGGGAACCUGCCCGAAUUCCCGGUGGAAUCUCACCUGAGCUUUGGCUCCUGGCGCAUUUCACCCAGGCCGCAUCUACCAUCACUUCGAGGCAAGGAAGGCCCCCGAUGGAGCGGGGCUCUUGGUGGCCGAACAAGGUUUAUGAAAUUUUCAGAAAUUCAAAUUAGCCUGAAGGAAGUUCAUGAAAGUCUAA
Molecule: long non-coding RNA, 905 nt
Filed under: Canis lupus familiaris (dog)
Lineage: Eukaryota; Metazoa; Chordata; Mammalia; Carnivora; Canidae
Description: lncRNA (ENSCAFG00845010728.1)
Source: RNAcentral